GCUUCCUCAACCCUCCUCUCUCUCUCUCUCUCUAACAUUCUCUGAGAAGCCCUAAUUCAAUUUCUUUUUAUCAGAUAGAUCAGGCAUUCAAACGAAUCAAACUCUAUGUUUGUCUUUAUACUCUAAACCCAAAUCCCCCCACCAUCGACAUUUCUUAUUGUUUCACUCAUUAUCAAAUUCAUACGCCACCAAUCAAUCUGUUUUCAAAUUCGAAUACCAUAUGGGUUAUGGUAAAGCUUUUAAUUUUGAUGUAACUAAUAAUGGUGAUACACGAAUCUUAAAAGGGUUUAGCUGCUGUAGUCUUACCCAAUCCCCCCUCAAGUGCUGUGGGAUGGGGGACUGGGAAGACUACAUUUGCUCAACUCAUUUACAAAGAAUGGGGCGGAUUGGAAUGGGACAUGAAUCACCAAGGAUUACCUCCUGACUUGGUAGUGAUUAUCAAUGAAGAUUAAGCACAGAACAUCUGCUACAGGGAAAUUGAAACCUGGGAGCUGGUAAAUGCAAAGAAAGUAUUUCUGGUCAGUUUUCAUCCCUGUUCUAGAUGGGUGGAUAUGAGACACCAAGGGUUACCUUCUGAUUUGGUAGGGGAUUAUCAAUGAUGAUAAAGCAUCAAACAUCUGUUACAGUUUCUGCUGGUGCAGCAUUUUCUGCAGGGGAGCAUCAUUCUCUGCUGCUGAAGCUUCAGACGGUAAAGAUCCAUCCAUUAUCGUAUUUGCUAGUCAAUUUGUAUUCCCAAUCUUGUAAAGCCUUGGUUAAAAGGGGCCAAGACUGGUGAUAUCAGCAGUUUGGUCUGUACCUUUGAAGGACAUCUUUGCGAGAGCUCUACUAGCACCUUUACCAAUGAACAGAGUGUAUCAGACACCAGGUUCAUAAAAAAUCCUGCUCUGAGAAACAGCACAGAUCUGUCUUUUAUUAACGCCACAAGUAACUUCUUUAAACACACGUCAUUUAACUGGGGGUGGUGAAGUUUCCAUAUCUUCGUUAAUUUCUCUAUGUCUUGGCAGUAUAUAUGCCAGAACAACACAAUAAAAAGCUAAAGCUAAUGCUAGUAAUGUGAAAAAAGUUGCUGGUGCUGAUAUUGGUUGUUCAA
Papaver somniferum (opium poppy) is the source of this 1090-nucleotide long non-coding RNA. RefSeq lists it as uncharacterized. The record is from RefSeq and is a predicted model, not a curated record. The transcript has 3 exons. NCBI's taxonomy places the organism in Eukaryota, Viridiplantae, Streptophyta, Magnoliopsida, Ranunculales, Papaveraceae.